Molecule: unclassified non-coding RNA, 278 nt
Filed under: plant metagenome
Description: partial contains small subunit ribosomal RNA and internal transcribed spacer 1
Rfam family: Eukaryotic small subunit ribosomal RNA (bases 1-54)
Source: RNAcentral
GGAAGUAAAAGUCAUAACAAGGUUUCCGUAGGUGAACCUGCGGAAGGAUCAUUAUCGAAAUACUUAUUUAGCGUUCCGUGCUAUCCCAUUGUUUUAUUUACCCUGUUGCUUCCACUGGAUGAGUUUCCAUACCUUGUGUUUGAGAAACUUUGGCUUGUGUAAGAUUCAUUCACGGCCAGCCAGUGAGAAGACCAUUUACAAAACCCUGUUAAGAACCAAUUGUCUGAAUAUUUUACUCCAAUGAAAUAAAACUUUCAACAACGGAUCUCUAGGCUCUU